AUGGCUGCUGUUCCCCCCUUUGAGAGGACCAUGAUGACUGCUGUCCUCCUCUUUGAAAGGACCAUGAUGGCUGCUGUCCUGUUGGAGAAGACCACAAUUGUUGCUGUCCUGCAAUUUGAUGAGGCCCUGAUGGCUGCUGCUGUCCUAUCUGAGAGGACCAUGAUGGCUGCUGUCCUGCAGUAUUAUGGGAACCUAAUGGUUGUGUUGAUGGCGCUUGAGGUGAUCCUGAUACCAUUUGACCUUCCAUUUGCUGGCGACCAAAUGGUUGCUGUCUUGCCAUCUGAGGUUGACCUGAUGGUGCUCGUGCAGGCAAUGAAGAUUGCUGCUCUCUUGCCAUUUGAGAACCCCAUGGCAUUCGAGGUUGUCUUUGCACAUGAGGGGGUCUAGACAUGUUCCUCCACCUAUUUUCAUCAAAAACUCUCUGAAUUUCUUGAUUAUGUCCAGCACUGGUAUAUGCCUCAGUUACAAAUUCUUUUAACGUGGGAGGAACACCAACACAGUAUCUCAUCAUUUGCUCCAGUAUAUUUGUGCUCAUGUCAAAUGCACCUGCUUCACAUAGUCCUCUCACCACAACAUCAUAAACAGAGGGGUCUGGUUUUAGAUCUCGCUCUCCCAUUUUAGUCAAAAUCUGUGCACACUCAACUGCCUUUCCAUUCUUAAUCAACUCACUAAACACCCUUGUCGCGUAAGUUGCCACCACCCACAAAUUUUCCUGUACCAUUUUAUAUAACAACUUUAGAGCAUCAUCAAUUCUCUCAACCUUCAGAUAAGCAUCGAUCAGCAUUCUAUAACUUGUGACAUCAGGGGACAAAGACUUGGAUGAUAGUUCUGUGAAGAAUUUCUCAGCCUCUAAUAACAUCUCAUUCUCACAAAACCUUAUUAUAAUGUUAUUAUACCCUGCAACAUCCAUUUGAAAAGGUUUUGACCCAGGCUUUGUCCCUGCCUUCCUAAACAUGUCCACUGCCUGAGCAAACUCCUGUUCUUUAAAACACUCAUUCACCAUGAUAUUAAAAGUUUCCGAAUUAACACCUUGGUUGGUUGGUGGGGUAUGGUUAUCUAACAUUAACUCAAAUAAAGCUAUAGCCGCCUCUUUUUUCCCAUACCUAAGCAGAACCUCCAAGAGGGCAUUUCCAGUUGGAGGUGCAAUCUUCAAUUUCCUAUCCAUAAAUGACUUAUAAUUCUCCAUAGCCUCCUUAUCCUUCCCUUGCUUAAACCACCAAUCCAUAAAUGUUGCAUUAACUGUGCCAUCAUACCACAAACAUCUCUCAGUCAACUCAUUGAAAAACUCAUUUGCCUUCUCCAAAUUUCCCAAGUCAAGAAACGCUUUAAUUAUAUUGUUAAAGACCAAAGAAUCUGCCCCGUGACCUUUGUUCAACAUCUCUCUCAACAAAUCCACUGCUUCAUCAACCCUCCCAGCAUCAAUCAACCCUUUAGUCAAAUGCUUAUAAGUUACAUGCGAUGGACUAAACGGAGCAUUUGCAAUUAUAUGCCUAUAGAUUUCAAGUGCCGUAUCGACUCUCCCCUCAUCACAAUGUGCAUUGAUCAAAUUAUUAUACGAAACAACAUUAGGAACUAUAUCAUGCUGUUCAAAAAAGUACUUAAAUAGCGAAAUUGCAUCACUGUACCGUUUGGCUCGAUACAUAGCAGCGAUGAUCGCGUUGCAGGUGAACACAGUGGGACGAGUUCUGGUGUAGACGGCGUUGCGAGCGAGAAGGGAGGCGUUGUCGAGAUCGAAGGCGCGAAUGAGAGAUUGCACUCGGUUAUGAAGGUUAAGUCGCGGGCCUACUAAUGCAUUGGUAGAGUCCGGAAGACGAGGCGCGUUGGGGUCACGAGGCGGAGGGUUGGGAUUGCGCUGAAGGGCGUGGAGUGGAGGUUCGAUGCGGAGGCGGCGCUUGCGUCUACGGCGUUCGGCAGCAGCUUCCUCGGCGGAGGAAAAGGCGUAGGUGCGGGAUAUAGGGAGGAGAGGAGAUGAGGAGAUGGGGUUGGAUAAGGAUGAGAUUGGGUCAUUAGAAUCAAAAGUUUGGGAGGUGGUCGUCUUGGGAGAGAGUGUGAGGUAGUGGAGGGCUCGAAUUAGAGGUUGACAGGACUUGGCGUUGGUGGAGGCGGUGGCAGUGGAGCGGCGGAGGAGGCGGUAGACUGACAUCUUUGGGCCGUUGAACCUUUGUGUGAGUCGGAGAGGCAAGAGAAGUACAAUCGAAGAGAGCUUCAAGCCUUAAACCCUAAGAG
RNAcentral lists this unclassified non-coding RNA (2226 nucleotides) under Hevea brasiliensis (rubber tree). The record is from RNAcentral. Lineage: Eukaryota; Viridiplantae; Streptophyta; Magnoliopsida; Malpighiales; Euphorbiaceae.